This 245-nucleotide ribosomal RNA is filed under the name uncultured bacterium. RNAcentral describes it as "partial 16S ribosomal RNA". It matches the Rfam family "Bacterial small subunit ribosomal RNA", at positions 524 to 768 of the family's 1533-position model. The record is from RNAcentral.
GACAGAGGUCUCGAGCGUUAGGCGGAAUCACUGGGCUUAAAGCGUGUGUAGGCGGAUACUUAAGUGCCUUGUGAAAUCCCCCGGCUCAACCGGGGAACUGCUUGGCAUACUGGGUGUCUUGAGCCAUCUAGGGGCAACUGGAACAAACGGUGGAGCGGUGAAAUGCGUAGAUAUCGUUUGGAACGCCAACGGUGAAAACAGGUUGCUGGGGAUGUGCUGACGCUGAGACACGAAAGCCAGGGGAG